This 492-nucleotide ribosomal RNA is filed under the name uncultured organism. RNAcentral's name for it is "bacterial SSU rRNA". It matches the Rfam family "Bacterial small subunit ribosomal RNA", at positions 28 to 507 of the family's 1533-position model. The record is from RNAcentral.
GAUGAACGCUAGCGACAGGCCUAACACAUGCAAGUCGAGGGGCAGCGGAGAGGUAGCAAUACCUUUGCCGGCGACCGGCGCACGGGUGAGUAACACGUAUGCAAUCCACCUGUAACAGGGGGAUAACCCGGAGAAAUCCGGACUAAUACCCCAUAAUAUGGGCGUUCCGCAUGGAGAGCUCAUUAAAGAGAGCAAUUUUGGUUACAGACGAGCAUGCGCUCCAUUAGCCAGUUGGCGGGGUAACGGCCCACCAAAGCGACGAUGGAUAGGGGUUCUGAGAGGAAGGUCCCCCACAUUGGAACUGAGACACGGUCCAAACUCCUACGGGAGGCAGCAGUGAGGAAUAUUGGUCAAUGGUCGGCAGACUGAACCAGCCAAGUCGCGUGAGGGAAGACGGCCCUACGGGUUGUAAACCUCUUUUGUCGGAGAGUAAAGUACGCUACGCGUAGUGUAUUGCAAGUAUCCGAAGAAAAAGCAUCGGCUAACUCCGUG